RNAcentral lists this ribosomal RNA (355 nucleotides) under uncultured bacterium. RNAcentral describes it as "bacterial SSU rRNA". It matches the Rfam family "Bacterial small subunit ribosomal RNA", at positions 1 to 334 of the family's 1533-position model. The record is from RNAcentral.
CUAGCGACUUCAGAGUUUGAUCCUGGCUCAGGACGAACGCUGGCGGCGCGCCUAACACAUGCAAGUCGAACGGAGCUUGAUGGAAUGAUUCUUCGGAUGAAUGAAGUUAAGCUUAGUGGCGAACGGGUGAGUAACGCGUGAGCAAUCUGCCUUAAAGAGGGGGACAACAGUUGGAAACGACUGCUAAUACCGCAUAAGCCCACACUACCGCAUGGUAGAGUGAGAAAAGAUUUUAUCGCUUUAAGAUGAGCUCGCGUCUGAUUAGCUAGUUGGUGGGGUAACGGCCUACCAAGGCAACGAUCAGUAGCCGGACUGAGAGGUUGAUCGGCCACAUUGGGACUGAGACACGGCCCAG